This 1684-nucleotide long non-coding RNA is filed under the name Sus scrofa (pig). Its description in RNAcentral is "lncRNA (ENSSSCG00065074160.1)". Lineage: Eukaryota; Metazoa; Chordata; Mammalia; Artiodactyla; Suidae. The record is from RNAcentral.
AUGAAGGCCGGGCGCCCAGCUCUGCCCUCGUCACCCCACCUCCAGGGAGGAAAUGUGGUUCCAGGCCCUCGCCGGCCUCCGUCUCCCCACCUGGACGGCAUCUCUGAUCGGGCUGUUUGCACCUGCAAAAGGCCUCCCCGGAGACCAGCCCCUGGUCUGGCAGGGCCCCCGGCCUCCUUCCCACUGAAGUCGGCGUGGAGGUCGCUGGCCUCCAACGAUGAGCCCGCCCGAGCUUGGGGGGUCUGGGGAGGACCCGGCGCUUGGACCCCGUCUUCCAACAGAAGCCAGGGGACCGAGGAACCCGAAGCUCCUGCCCAACGGCUCAGUCGGCACGUCCCCGCCCUUCGAGAUCCAGCGUUUCCUUUUGUCGCCUCAUCAUGUGACGAACGUCAUUCAAAACGCCCGUCAGUCCUCAGCAUUUAUCGCAAAAGCCACCCCCGCCUGGAUUCCCACCCCCGCCCCGGAAGCGAAGGUUGGCCACGUUCAACUUUUCGCCUGUCUUGGCCUUGCUUUGGUUUUGCGGGUUUGGCACUUGGCUCCCAGCUUCCAAAGGACCUGCCGUUGUGCUGUGCCCCUCAUCUCGUCAUCCUUCCCUCCAGGUGGCAGAGAUGCAUCGAGCGCGCCCAGCGCCCCGUCCCCCAUAGAGGGAAGCCCCACUUUCCAUUCAACCUGACCCAACGUUAAUCCAUUAGUUAACGUAUGGACUAAAAGUUCUGAAUGAGGCUCACAGGUACAUCAGCUCCCCGCUGUGUCUCCGUCCUACUCUCUCCUCACCCCCAGGGCAGCCCCCGGGGUACGUUCUCCAGUCUCUUGUGUCUCCACCACGAGUUCCUCCCCUGAGCGUUUCCGCAAAGCUGGGAGAACCCACCCUCCUGUGUUUCAUGGGGCGGGGGGGACGGUGGCUGGUCCAGCCCAGUUUUCUCUCUGGAUACAUCCGUCUGGACGGCGUUGUCUNGGGGGGGGGGGGGGGGGGGGGGCGGCUGGUCCAGCCCAGUUUUCUCUCUGGAUACAUCCAUCUGGACGGCGUUGUCUCACCCCUGCUCGCGGGGCUCCGUCUUCCCCUUUGAUGGCCCCGAUCCUGGUCCCACAUCUUCCGGCUUGUGGUUUUGAAACUGACAGCACUAAGGACUCAAACCCAGCCUAAACCCCGUUCGGGAGUUGAACCCACGGUUGUUAACGUAGAAUCCCUCACCUGGUGUCCGGACUUACGGAGGGUCAGCUUCUUUGUGUCCCAGCACAGAAGGAAAUCAAGUGAUAAGCAAGAAAUAGAUUUAUGAAGACAGGACGCUCGUGAGAGACGCCAGCGGGCAGGCAGGGGGCCUCUGCCCCGAGGGUCGGGUGGGCUCUGUUUCUAAUCCACCCGGAGUGGGGCUGGGGAAGGACCCCCGCUUCCUCCUUCGUCAAAGUGCUUUUUCCCUUCCGCAGAGGGCGGUCCUUCAACGCCUGCCCUUGGUGCUAAGGAUCUUCUUGGGGCUGAACUUGAACGCAGGCCUCAUUUUAAUGACCUGAGGCAUAGCUGGUGCUUUUAUUUGUGGUUUUGUUAAGCAAGCCGGCUUCUUUCUGAUGACUUUCUGGAGCGACCAUUAACCUCCGUGGUCUCCCGAAGCCCCCUAGGUUUCCCUGUCUCUCUGUGGUCCCCUCCUGGGACUUGCACAACUGCCCGUGCGACUGUCCUGCUCCAUGC